Molecule: ribosomal RNA, 378 nt
Filed under: uncultured bacterium
Lineage: Bacteria
Description: bacterial SSU rRNA
Rfam family: Bacterial small subunit ribosomal RNA
Source: RNAcentral
UGGUGCUUCGGGAACGUGAGACAGGUGCUGCAUGGCUGUCGUCAGCUCGUGUUGUGAAAUGUUGGGUUAAGUCCCGCAACGAGCGCAACCCUUAUCCUUUGUUGCCAGCGGUCCGGCCGGGAACUCAAAGGAGACUGCCAGUGAUAAACUGGAGGAAGGUGGGGAUGACGUCAAGUCAUCAUGGCCCUUACGACCAGGGCUACACACGUGCUACAAUGGCGCAUACAAAGAGAAGCGACCUCGCGAGAGCAAGCGGACCUCAUAAAGUGCGUCGUAGUCCGGAUUGGAGUCUGCAACUCGACUCCAUGAAGUCGGAAUCGCUAGUAAUCGUGGAUCAGAAUGCCACGGUGAAUACGUUCCCGGGUCUUGUACACACCG